RNAcentral lists this ribosomal RNA (113 nucleotides) under Coptotermes testaceus. The record is from RNAcentral. Lineage: Eukaryota; Metazoa; Arthropoda; Insecta; Blattodea; Rhinotermitidae.
AACGGCCAUACCACGUUGAAAACACCGGUUCUCGUCCGAUCACCGCAGUUAAGCAACGUUGGGCAUGGUUAGUACUUGGAUGGAUGACCGCUUGGGAACACCAUGUGCUGUUG